AAGGAUCAUUACCAAACAUGGAAUAUCAUAUCCCUUAAACCCACUCUGAGUAUUUGUACCUGUUGCUUCCGUGGGCAGUGAGCUAUAUAUGUUUGCGCCUGCCCAUGCGGUGGACCUACGGGAGAUAUAAAUCAACUUCGCAUUUUGUGACCUCAGUCUGAUCAUGUUUAUUCGUUAUAAACUUUAAAACUUUCAACAACGGAUCUCUUGGUUCUCGCAUCGAUGAAGAACGCAGCGUAGCCAGCAUCGAUGUGGAAGUAAAAGUCGUAACAAG
RNAcentral lists this unclassified non-coding RNA (274 nucleotides) under uncultured fungus. RNAcentral describes it as "partial contains 18S rRNA, ITS1, 5.8S rRNA, ITS2 and 28S rRNA". The record is from RNAcentral. Lineage: Eukaryota; Fungi.